Non-coding RNA from Marchantia polymorpha (common liverwort), 80 nucleotides. The record is from Rfam. Lineage: Eukaryota; Viridiplantae; Streptophyta; Marchantiopsida; Marchantiales; Marchantiaceae.
GCGCAUUUGGUGAAAAAGGUAAACACGACGGAUUUAAAAUCCGUUCCUAUUGGUUAUUGGUUCAAGUCCAAUAAUGCGCA